AGCACGGGCUGUGUGGUGUCACUGCUCCAUCUCUCGCGUUCUCUUGUAAUCCGGCUGAAGUGCAAUUCCAACAGGCCAAUAUUUUUCAGGGAACCAGGAACUUGGAAGCACGUCUGCGAAGCCCAAGCUCAUCUACUUCAGUGGAGCCGGUCCGAUGGCUGCUGGCAGCAGCCGGGGUGGAGUUUGAGGAAAUUUUUCUGGAUACAAGAGAGCAGUAUGCAAAGUUAAUCAAAG
Struthio camelus australis is the source of this 234-nucleotide non-coding RNA. The record is from RefSeq and is a predicted model, not a curated record. Lineage: Eukaryota; Metazoa; Chordata; Aves; Struthioniformes; Struthionidae.